AGCCCCAGGGUGUCUUCUUGAGGGAAAACAAAUAUAAGACCCUGUCUUAUUUUGGGGGAAACACGGCAAUAAGUUUCAAAAAACGGGUUUUAAACUCAAUUCUCUGGCAGCUCCGCCUUUCCCUGCCUCGGACUGGGAUGUUAUUUCAUUAAUUUCUUUACCCAUCGCCGUGAUCAGCAAAUACCCAUCUCCUGCAGUUUCAGGCGUGAGCAAAAUGUUAGGAGCACCGAGGCAACAACCGGUGUUUGUCCCUGAGGAGUUCCCGGUCGGAUGGGGGCCUCGGGCGGGCCGUUGAGAACGUCAACUCAAUAUGCCAAGGCGCGAGACGAUAUUUUUAGAAUAAGAUUGUAAUUCUGUACUCGUCCGUGGAGCGCUCGUACGAUCCCCGUGCUGUGAGGAACGCCAGAGUUGUAAAGGAGAAGGAUGUCAGGCUGGUGGCGGUCCCCCCGCCCCUCUCUAGAGUAAAAAGAGAACAGGCUCCCUGACCAGACCCCCCACAAACGACCGCCAGGCACCACCAGCCCCUCCCGUUUCUCAGGAACAGACAAAGACCACAGUGGGGAAAAAAAAAAAAAAACCCAGCCCUUCCUGCCAAAAGUCCCUAACCCUCCUCAACAGUAUAAAAGCUCACACCCCAUACAAGCGGCUGUGACUUCUGAGGCCCCAUUCUCCUGAGACCCCUGAACCUCACCCGGGAGCGCUCAACGACGCCACGUUGUUUGGCCCCACUCUCUCUCCCUCUCUCUGCCUGUUUCUUUCACCGCCGGAAAACCUUACAAAGGAGGCGUAGACCCCCCUGCUGGUGCCGCAGUCAGCCUGGUCAGGGACACGGAGGAGCGUUCCACCUCACCCUGCAAACUCAGGUGUGCGGGGAAGCACACCUGUGAGUCCACGACUCAGCUCAGUUCUGUCUCAGCUCACGUCACGCAAGAACGGAGGGACUGUGGCUCCCGUCAAGGGUGGCGAAGCUUCUUGCGCUUGCGUAGGUGCUGGGGGUGGAGGAGGCUCCCGACCCUGGACCCACCCAGGUAACAGAAAAAGCGUCUUUCCUUCCUGCCCACCUGGCCCCCCUUCCACGCUGCCUCCGUGUCACCUGUGGGGGGCUGGAAGCCUUCCUUCUUCUCUCCCUGGGCCACAGGUGGGAGGAGAGGUGGGUUCUGAGCCCACCUGAAUACCUAUGGAAGGUGGUUCAUAGCUGCCUCCUUCACCCUUGACUCGCGGACCAAGGCUGUGCCCCCCAGAAAGGUGCCCGUCCCUUGGCCUGGGCUUUGACGUCGCCUGGCUGUCGUUUUCUCACGGGCUACCUGCUGUUUCUACCUUAUUGAUAGCAAAUCCCAGGACACAGCUCCCAGGUAAGUAGAAAAGGAAGUGGCACAUGGCAUCCCAGGUACAAUUCCUGAAAGUCCCAGAACCCUCAGGAACAGCAGUUUCAAAUGCUCACAGUCCUCACCAUCAGAGAGACAAACCCAGGACCGAAGUCUCACUAGAAUUCCGGCAGGUAGAACCCAUCCGGCACCUGGGGCCUGCACUGGGGUCCGUGAUGCCCGUUUCCCUCCUGCUGUCACCAGGGAAGGGCACCUGGUUGUUCCACAAGGAGACAGAAAGUCAGACCAAGGGUGAUCCGCCCACCCUGCCUGCUUGACAAUCCCUCUCUCUGAGCGUUCCUUGCCUUGGUAAGGAGCAGCAAAGCAGAGUAGGGCUGGGAAAUGGGUUCUACAAAAAAACAAACAAAAAAAACCUUGCAAAAUAGAAGAUGGGGAACAGCACCUGGUAGACGAAGAGGGAGAAGGUCCUUCUGGAAAUGAUCUGCUGUAAGAUCUGGAAAAGCAGUUGCAAGAAGGUCUCUGGCAAACGCAGCACGAGGUAGAACUGCGGUGCGGGCAGGUCCCGAGGCCCAGGCAAACCUCAGCAAUCCGGGAAGGCUGGGGCAGAAUGUUCUGGGCUCCGGCUCCAUGUUUUGGGCAGCACCACUGCCCCGGGCCUCCCGUGACCCUGCUGAACUAUUCGAAGUUUCUCCUGAAGGCCUCGCUCCUGCCCUAUCUCUGGGGCUGUCCGUGCACAGCCCCGACCUCACCGUGACACCUGCCCGGCCCAGCUGUGAAGGAACAGGUAGGUACCCCUACUCCGCAGGGGCCAACGGGGCUCCUGGGGCUUCCUUCCCUCUGUCUGCAGCCCACCACUUACGAGACAUCACUGCACGACAAUCGUUUUGUUUCUUAAUUUGUAACCCCUGGCAGAGUCCGUUCUUAUUGCUAGCACAGAAUGAACCACUUCUAUGUUGUGCGACCACCACUUAGUGGCCAAUCUGUGUGGGCGAGCAAACACCUGUGGUGUCUCAGGUGUGCUCACGCCGACCCCCGUCUGCCCUACCUGGGACGGAGGCGUAAGCACCUGGCUCAGGUUCUCAGAGGCAGGGCACGGGGCUGGCUUUCCAACCCAUGUUCUUUGGACAGCAAGUCCCGCGUUCUUUGCCAUGAAGCUACAACCCUUUUUCCCAGAAACCGCAGAGGGGACAGGUGUGUGGAGGCCAAUGGGCACAGGGCCAGCCGGUCUCGUCCCCUCAUUGGGGUGAAGGUGGCGGUGCGCACAGAGGAGCUGGGGACCUGGAAUGAGGACCCUUCCUCCUGCUCCCCAAGCCCUGGCCUCGGUGGGUCCAGGAGGUGGCUGGUCCAGGGAGCACACCGGCGUCUCCGUGGCUGGUUCCGUGGCUCAGCUGGGGCUCUGAGGGGAAGUCUAGGAGCUCCCGGGCCUGGACUCAGUGCCGCUACCUGUCCCACUCGCCCCACGAGCAGUCGCUGCAUCAUACCCACCUCACCUGGAGACCGGUGCCUGCUGCCGGAUGCAGAGACAGGCAGGUGCGCGAAGAAGAAAGACGUGUUUGGAUGGAGAGAAGGCAUGGCUCGUGUAGCCCCAAAACAAUUGCAAUCGUUACAUCAAAAAGAUUGCAUGGAUGCGGAGAGAGAGGAACACUCCUACACUGCUGGUGGGACUGC
Molecule: non-coding RNA, 2993 nt
Organism: Microcebus murinus (gray mouse lemur)
Lineage: Eukaryota; Metazoa; Chordata; Mammalia; Primates; Cheirogaleidae
Source: RefSeq, a predicted model, not a curated record